CCGGGGACGGUGCCAGAUUGUCGUACUGAACCUCAUAUAUUUAACAACCUCCGACCCAAAAACCGUCUCCUGGGACCCACUAACUAGAGUCAUUCAUAUUUGUCGUUAAAAUAGUUAAUUUACUGAUGUCUCUUGGCAAUAGCUAUGCGUCAAAAACCGGUUAAUACUAUGAUGCCCUGAGUACGAUAACCGGUGGUGGAGGCCUCCCAGCUGACAAGACCGGCGGCCUAACACACACACACACUUCUCCUUCCAGUGUUGGUUGUGAGGGAUUUCAACUCACACCACCACCUGCCGCCACACCACAGACACACCCCAGCCGCUGUACCUGUCCACAGCUGGUAGCCUGAGAGUGACUUAUCCGGGAACUUGUCACGGUGAUUUCCGCGCCCCAGCAUGACACAGAAGGAUGGCAUUUGGGCAAAAAGUCUGUCUUUCAGUAUUAACGGUGGUGGUGGACGGCAAACAUUGUGGAAGCAGUCCUCUGAGUCGUGGGGAGGACGCCGCCACAACAGACUGAGAUGACACUGCCGCCAGCACCUCCUCCUCUGCCCAGCCACCACCAGAGAGGCUUUACUCCAGAAGGCACUGGAGGUAUGCAAGAACAUUGCUGCUGCUGCUGCUGCUGGAUACAUACAGUUAUUAACAAUACAAACCACUGGACCCACCACCCAUCGGCAAGUGUUCCAGGAGGCAAGAAGGAGUGACUCUACACCAUAGAACUUUGACAGACCUCCUCCUCCUGCCUUCAAGUCUGGCCAAGAUAUGUGACAAAGAAGAAGCAGAAGAAGAAGGCUCCGAUCACAAGGAAGAAAUUCUGUAGCCCUGCUGGACGUCAUUGGAGUAGCCGCUGUACCUGUCCACAGCUGGUAGCCUGAGAGUGACUUAUCCGGGAACUUGUCACGGUGAUUUCCGCGCCCCAGCAUGACACAGAAGGAUGGCAUUUGGGCAAAAAGUCUGUCUUUCAGUAUUAACGGUGGUGGUGGACGGCAAACAUUGUGGAAGCAGUCCUCUGAGUCGUGGGGAGGACGCCGCCACAACAGACUGGGAUGACACUGCCGCCAGCACCUCCUCCCCUUCCUCCCUGCCCAGCCACCACCAGAGAGGCUUUACUCCAGAAGGCACUGGAGGUAUGCAAGAACAUUGCUGCUGCUGCUGCUGCUGGAUACAUACAGUUAUUAACAAUACAAACCACUGGACCCACCACCCAUCGGCAAGUGUUCCAGGAGGCAAGAAGGAGUGACUCUACACCAUGGAACUUUGACAGACCUCCUCCUCCUGUCUUCAAGUCUGGCCAAGAUGUGUGACCAAGAAGAAGAAGCAGAAGAAGACUCCGCUCACAAGGAAGAAAUUCUGUAGCCCUGCUGGACGUCAUUGGAGUAGGUAAUGCUGAUUAAUUUUUCUUUUAAUUAUUUAUUUAUUGAUUUAUUGAUUCAUUUUACUGCGGCUUUAACAGUGAGGGAAGGCACGUGGGCAUACUCAGGCAGACACAUGCCGCCUCAUUUCACCCUUUCAUACCUUCACUUCUACUCACCUCACGUGACUAAAUGAAGUACCAUUGUAAAGUACACACCCUUAACUGU
RNA transcript from Eriocheir sinensis (Chinese mitten crab), 1583 nucleotides. RefSeq lists it as uncharacterized. The record is from RefSeq and is a predicted model, not a curated record. The transcript has 11 exons. Lineage: Eukaryota; Metazoa; Arthropoda; Malacostraca; Decapoda; Varunidae.